GAUGAAGAACGUAGCGAAAUGCGAUAAGUAAUGUGAAUUGCAGAAUUCAGUGAAUCAUCGAAUCUUUGAACGCACAUUGAGCCCGCCAGCAUUCUGGCGGGCAUGCCUGUUCGAGCGUCAUUUCAACCCUCAAGCUCUGCUUGGUGUUGGGGCCCUACGGUUGACGUAGGCCCUUAAAGGUAGUGGCGGACCCUCUCGGAGCCUCCUUUGCGUAGUAACUAACGUCUCGCAUUGGGAUUCGGAGGGACUCUUGCCGUAAAACCCCCAAAUUUUCUAAUGGUUGACCUCGGAUCAGGUAGGAAUACCCGCUGAACUUAAGCAUAUCAAUAAGCGGAGGA
Molecule: unclassified non-coding RNA, 338 nt
Filed under: soil metagenome
Description: partial contains 5.8S ribosomal RNA, internal transcribed spacer 2, and large subunit ribosomal RNA
Rfam family: 5.8S ribosomal RNA (bases 1-120)
Source: RNAcentral